AAAUUGAAGAGUUUGAUCAUGGCUCAGAUUGAACGCUGGCGGCAGGCCUAACACAUGCAAGUCGAACGGUAACAGAAAGCAGCUUGCUGCUUUGCUGACGAGUGGCGGACGGGUGAGUAAUGUCUGGGAAACUGCCUGAUGGAGGGGGAUAACUACUGGAAACGGUGGCUAAUACCGCAUAACGUCGCAAGACCAAAGAGGGGGACCUUCGGGCCUCUUGCCAUCA
RNAcentral lists this ribosomal RNA (226 nucleotides) under Salmonella enterica subsp. enterica. RNAcentral describes it as "partial 16S ribosomal RNA". It matches the Rfam family "Bacterial small subunit ribosomal RNA", at positions 1 to 223 of the family's 1533-position model. Lineage: Bacteria; Pseudomonadati; Pseudomonadota; Gammaproteobacteria; Enterobacterales; Enterobacteriaceae. The record is from RNAcentral.